This 497-nucleotide ribosomal RNA is filed under the name uncultured bacterium. Its description in RNAcentral is "partial 16S ribosomal RNA". It matches the Rfam family "Bacterial small subunit ribosomal RNA", at positions 28 to 507 of the family's 1533-position model. The record is from RNAcentral.
GACGAACGCUGGCGGCGUGCCUAAUACAUGCAAGUUGAGCGAUGAAGCUUGGUGCUUGCACCAAUUUGAAGAGCAGCGAACGGGUGAGUAACGCGUGGGGAAUCUGCCUUUGAGCGGGGGACAACAUUUGGAAACGAAUGCUAAUACCGCAUAACAACUUUAAACAUAAGUUUUAAGUUUGAAAGAUGCAAUUGCAUCACUCAAAGAUGAUCCCGCGUUGUAUUAGCUAGUUGGUGAGGUAAAGGCUCACCAAGGCGAUGAUACAUAGCCGACCUGAGAGGGUGAUCGGCCACAUUGGGACUGAGACACGGCCCAAACUCCUACGGGAGGCAGCAGUAGGGAAUCUUCGGCAAUGGACGAAAGUCUGACCGAGCAACGCCGCGUGAGUGAAGAAGGCUUUCGGAUCGUAAAACUCUGUUGGUAGAGAAGAACGUUGGUGAGAGUGGAAAGCUCAUCAAGUGACGGUAACUACCCAGAAAGGGACGGCUAACUACGUG